This 490-nucleotide ribosomal RNA is filed under the name Rhodococcus sp. enrichment culture. RNAcentral describes it as "bacterial SSU rRNA". It matches the Rfam family "Bacterial small subunit ribosomal RNA", at positions 371 to 872 of the family's 1533-position model. The record is from RNAcentral. Lineage: Bacteria; Bacillati; Actinomycetota; Actinomycetes; Mycobacteriales; Nocardiaceae.
AUGGGCGAAAGCCUGAUGCAGCGACGCCGCGUGAGGGAUGACGGCCUUCGGGUUGUAAACCUCUUUCAGCAGGGACGAAGCGCAAGUGACGGUACCUGCAGAAGAAGCACCGGCUAACUACGUGCCAGCAGCCGCGGUAAUACGUAGGGUGCAAGCGUUGUCCGGAAUUACUGGGCGUAAAGAGUUCGUAGGCGGUUUGUCGCGUCGUUUGUGAAAACCAGCAGCUCAACUGCUGGCUUGCAGGCGAUACGGGCAGACUUGAGUACUGCAGGGGAGACUGGAAUUCCUGGUGUAGCGGUGAAAUGCGCAGAUAUCAGGAGGAACACCGGUGGCGAAGGCGGGUCUCUGGGCAGUAACUGACGCUGAGGAACGAAAGCGUGGGUAGCGAACAGGAUUAGAUACCCUGGUAGUCCACGCCGUAAACGGUGGGCGCUAGGUGUGGGUUCCUUCCACGGAAUCCGUGCCGUAGCUAACGCAUUAAGCGCCCCGC